UACGAAGGGGCUAGCGUUGCUCGGAAUCACUGGGCGUAAAGCGCACGUAGGCGGACUCUUAAGUCGGGGGUGAAUCCUGGAGCUCAACUCCAGAACCUGCCUUCGAUACUGGGAGUCUUGAGUUCGGGAGAGGUGAGUGGAACUGCGAGUGUAGAGGUGAAAUUCGUAGAUAUUCGCAAGAACACCAGUGGCGAAGGCGGCUCACUGGACUGGUAUUGACGCUGAGGUGCGAAAGCGUGGGGAGCAAACAGGG
RNAcentral lists this ribosomal RNA (253 nucleotides) under uncultured bacterium. RNAcentral describes it as "partial 16S ribosomal RNA". It matches the Rfam family "Bacterial small subunit ribosomal RNA", at positions 524 to 777 of the family's 1533-position model. The record is from RNAcentral.